UCAAAUCUACUUUUUUGGGGGAAAGUUGGGCAGUUGAGACUGCUUAAUCACAACCAGUGUGAGUUUAGAGGGUGCAUGUUCACUUUUGUAGAAGUUCAAAAUGUACUGACGAUUGUUUGCUUAUUUUUUGUUUGUUUGUUUAAAUCUUGAUGGAAUACGUCGUCUGCAUUUUUACGAUUUUGUUUUCUUCUGUUGAACCCAUUACAGUGGAUAUAGAGUUUUAUUAUAUAGCGAAAUCUUUGUAAACUGCCACAGAAAGAAAGUGUUAUUUAGAAGGGAAACUGACAAGUUUUAAAGAGUAAUUGUACAAUCAUUUGAGGACAGAGGAACACUGCAUUAUACUAAUAAGGGUUUAAUUACCAAAAAAAGUUUAAUGUUGCUUUGGAAGGAAUAUUAAGUAAGUUGUCUUUGUCUCUUACUUUUUAAUUUUAGUCGCUGAUUUAGCCUGUUGGGUCACAUUUUUUGUUAGUGCUGAAGGCUGCCAUGAAUCCGUAAUGAGGCCCCUUUGCACAUGAUUUUGGCACUUGGCCAAAAUCAACUUCCCAGCGGCAAGCUUUCUCUAAAGAACCUGGAGCAAUUUCUUUCUUUUUUUUUUUUUUUUAAUCAGGAAUCAUGUCUGAAAGCUGCCACAACCAGUUGUAUAGGCAUGUCAAAAUGACUUUAUACAGUCAAUAUGAAACAAGCAUUAAAUAUUUUUUCUCGUGUUGUUGCUUUUAUCAUUAUGAAUUCCUUGCUUGUUACCACCUAAGAUACGAUGGAGCAAGCACAAUCUUAAAGAAGAUUUGCUGAUUUUUUGUUUUUCUCAGCAGACCAGAGAUAUCCAUAAAAAUUCAUCAGAGAGCGUUUUACUACUGAGCUGCAAAGGGAAAAACUUAAAAUGGAUAUGAAAAGUGAAGAAGGUGAUCAUAGGAGAAAACCAUUUCAGGUGUCUGAUGAUUUGUGAGCCUCAAGUGACUACUCUCUGGAAUCAUCUGUCCUUGCCUUUGAAUUAGCUUUCCCUAGGCCAUGAGUCAACAUUAGUAGUUUACACAUCCAAAUUGAUGACAGGAGCACCUCAAAGGCAGCAGCCUCAAGGAGCAGCCAUGGCCCCAGAGUUUUCCCACAGAUGCAGAAAACUUAAUGGAGGAGGCUGAGGUCAGAAUGGGAAGAGUUUUUAAAAAGUAAAAAGGGGAGCUAAUAUGUGAGGAACUGAUUGCUGUGCAUUAUUUUCCACUGAACAGACCUUCUUUUAACUUCUAAUCUCAAGCACAUAGCAGCUGUUGUUUUCAUAUUAAAGAUCAGUAAGUGUUUGUUGAACGAAUGUAUAAAUUCUUUCCCAAUCUCUGUUCCAUGUAAUAAAAACUAAGUUAGCAUUCAAUUAUAAAGAGGACUUAGAAAGACUGCAGGCAUUUUUGAUAAAAAAAAAAUCCUUUUAACUGUCUUCUCAUGGUUCCCGGUGACACCUAAGCCCAAAAAACUGAGGUCAUUUCUUGCCUGUACUGUUGCAAUAGCCUCAUAAUAACUAGUCUUCUCCUUUAUAAACCACAGUCGUCUCCACUACACAAAGAAGAGAGGGUGCUAAUCUAAAGUGUAAAUUAUUUUAAAUCAGCACCCUUGUAAUUUCCCAGUGGUUUUUCCUGUCAUAAGAAUAACAUGCAAAAUUCCUUGCUUGCAAAGCCAGGUAUGACCUUGCCCCUGUCUACCUUACUGGCGUCGUCUCUCAUGACUCUCCCCCUUUUUCACUCUCCAUCUUGCCUUUUCCCAACCAUGCCUGCUAGUGAGCCUCAGCCCUUGUGUUCUCUCUGCCAGGGAUGCACGACUGGCUUCUUUACUUUAUUCUGAUCUCUCUGCUCAAGUGUCAUCUUUUUAGAGAUACCUUUCCUAAACAUCUUUAAAAGUACCCCAUUAACUGUGGAACACCUUUCCUGCUUUUUCUUCAUAGUACUUAUCACUUCCUGAUAUUAUGUUAGACAACAAGCAAAUAAGUAUAUGCAUAUAUGCUGUUCCUACUAAAAUAUAAGCUCCAUUUGAACAGGAGCCUUGAUUAUUCCUGACUAUACCCCUAGUGCCCAGAACCUAGUAGGGCUUUAAUAAAUAUUAGAUUCAUUUUUUGAAUGAAAAAAUGAAUGAAUAAUUGAAUAAAGAUAUCCAGGUAGAAUGUCUGGGCAGCCCAACCUAUGUGAAGCCAGUACAAGAAUGUUUCUGUGACAUAAUGAAUGCAAUUAUUCCUCUAAAUGAUGAACUUGAAUGAGUACAUGAGGAUAAAAUUAAGCAUGUAGUUUAGAUUUCUGCAAGUCUCUCCCUCAGAUUGAGGAAAAACAAAGAAAUUGAGCUUAUUCUCACCUCAUUCUUACACGAACUAAAUCCAGAAUAAAGCAUCAUUUAUAUACCAAGCACAUCCCUACCUCAGCCACUCACGGAAUACUUUACUUUAUCUGUAAAGGGACAGAUAGUAAAUAUUUUUGGCUUUGGGGACCGUACAGUCUGGGUCGCCACUACUCGGCACUUCUGCUGAGGUGUGGAAUCAGCCCUAGACAACACAUAAACAAAUGGGUGUGGCUGUGUUCCAAUAAAAUGUUAUUUAUAAAACUAGGAAAUCAGCAGAUUUAGCCCACAGGCUGUAGUUUGCUGACCCCUUGAAUUAGAGAGUCUUCCCCAAAUCCUCUUCCCAAGUUAUUGAAAGAAUGCCCACAGGACCAUGGCUCCCUCACCUGGUUCUUUCAAGAAAUGAGACAAAUUCAGGGAUGGUUGGAGGGUGGAACGCCUACCUGUGACAUGACUAUUGAGCCUGAUUUCUUUCCUUUUAUCUCUAUAAAGUGAGUCAGGUCUUAACUUUAAACUAUCUCUAAAGUAGCAAUAACUGGGCCAUGUCAAAUACUCCCAAUGACAAAAUUUCUUCUUGGAGAAUGGAUGAGGGUUGCAUACAGCGGUGUGUUGCUAAGUGUUUAGCGACUGGCUCUCUUACUGAUUUCUGUAGUGUAAAUUCUCCCAUCCUGGCCAUCUGGAACUACCAGUGUGAUGUCACUUAAUGUAGAGUUGGGAAAAGACAGUCUCUUGAAUCAGUAUGAGCUGGUCCCCGCCCACUGCUGAACACAUAUUUAAAAGCUACAAUAGCUCUGCUCACUGCCAUUGCAGAGUCUGGAGGAAAGAGUGGUGGGCUUGAUAGGACCAAUUGGCUGGAUAAUCUUUUGCAAUGCCAAUAAAUAAUGAAAAAGCAUGUAAAUAUAAUGCUGUAUAGAAAGCUCUCAAGUUCAGUGUUUGGUUAAAAUACAUACUCAGUAAAUGGUAGCUAUUAUCGUCUUAGUUUAAGUUAUUGCAAGCACUAAAAUUAAAUGUUCAGCUACAGACUCAAUCCAAUUUUAAUGUCACUGUGUUAAUAACGCCUCUUAACAUUGAAGCAACAAAGAUAAAGGAAUUUUUUUUGUAGCUAUUCACGGUUCUGCCCAGCUCAAGGUAAAGAUAGCAACACAAUACUCCAACCAGAAUAAAAGAAGUCUCCACUUGACAGCAGCUCUUCACAACACUUCACAAGGGUCAAGCUGUGUUAGUUUCCUUCAGUAUUAAACAGAAUGCGUCUUAAGAGAAUAGUUCAAUUAUUGAUUGAAUAGUAGGUUCAAGUUGACUAUAAUCCCAACUAAUACACUCUAAGACCAGAGAUGGGCCAACAGAAGGGUAAAGUUUUCCACUCAAGUCUCGAGGCAAACACUCAGACAGAAGUAGUAAUAUGGAUGCCUUUUAUUAUUUGGUCACAUACAAUACUGUUCCAGCCCAGUUGUGCAAAACUGGUGAAAUAAAAGGCAACAAUAUUGACAACAGUUUGGGUAACUGGAUUCCAAAAUGGGCAUCCAUCUAAGAGAAAUUAAUGAAAAAAAGGUUUAUGGACCUUGAAAGACACUAAUACACAGUUUAGGUUUAAACACUCAGUGUUUGUUAGAAAAGACUAACAUAUGCUGUUUUGAACACUACAAAAGUGCUUUCUGAACCAUUUACUCUCAAACCUCCUCCACCCAUUCCCCUCCAUCUAUAAUGCUUUCUCCACAUCUGUAAAAGGUAUGACUUAGUGUUUGGUCUGUGAAAUAAAGUUAAAAAGGAAGCAUUUCUUUUUACGUUCUAGCUAAUGUUGAUAUUUUUUUCAUGCUUCUAUUAGCACAUAAUCCAGAUACAUUAGUUUUGAAGUUUUGAAUCUGCUCUGCUUCUUGAGGGUUCAAUGUUCUAGAUCAACAUUAUCUGUGGAACACCAGCCAAGUCCUGGGCAGAAUCCUCCCCGUUGUCCAAAUAUUACUGAAUCAGUUGAGUUUUCUCUGUUUUCAAUGAAUUAUUCCAUAUGUUUCUUUGCUACAUUUUCUUUUGGCUUUUUGUUCACAGUAAAUCAUAGCUUUUGUUUUUAAAAACUUCUAUUAUGAAAAUUCCAAAUAUAUGCAAAUUAGAGAGAAUAGCAUAAUGAGCCUCUAUGUGCUUAUCACACAUAUAGGUUCAGCUAAUUAAAUUAUAUCAAUUUAUGGCCAAUCUGGUUUCAUUUAUAACAUCAUUCGCUCAUUCCUAACUCCCUGGAUUAUUUGAUUGACAUGUUUCUAAAGUUCCUUUUAAUCUAUAGGUUCCCCCUCUCAUUUAAUCUUUUGCAACUUAUUUAUUGAUGAAACUGGGUUGUUUAUCCUUUAUUGUUUCUCUCAUUCUAAAAUAUGCUGUAAUGUCAUUAAUCAUGUUCUUCUUUCCUGUAUUUUCUGUACGCUUUGAGCUAGGCAGAAAUAUUUUAAUCAGAUUCCUUUUUUUUAAUUUUAGCAAGAUUUCUUCAUAAAUAAUAUUGUAUGUGUUCAUGAAAAUAGAAAUAAAAAUUGAAAUAAAAAAGAAAUAACAGAAAAGGGACAGAAAUUUUUAAUUUUUUUUAUGAAAACAGAUGAUAAAUAACAUUGUAAUAAAUCCCAACAGAACAUAGAGAACCUGACUUUAUUGAAGUUAGUGGGAUGAUGUUUAUGAUUUUAAAACUAUAUAUUAUGGUUAUGUCAUGUAAAAAUCAAAUAUUCAAGCACAUAUAUUAAAGUUAGUCAUCAUUACAUUUUUCCAAAGUAAAAAAUAAAAGUAAACCAACCUUAACCGUCAGUGAUUCCAUCAACUGAGCAAGUUUGAGUAGCAUUACCCUAGUGAAUAUCAGACUAUCGAUUAUUCUACUCAUGUACCUGAAAUUGGAUAACAGUAGGAAGAAUUUCCUGAACAAAUACAAGAUACGUAUUUAGACCUUCUCCAAUCUAGAGGAAUACUUGGUUAUUGUCAGAAUGAAGAAUGAGGAGUAUUGUUUUAGAACCGGACUUCUUUGAUGACCCUUAAGUAAACCAAUAUGGACCAGAUAACAGGAGCAAUUCAAAGCAUCAGAAUUUGGGGGGAUUCUUAUGGUGGAGCACAAUGAGGCAUUCCAGCCUACUCUAAGAAAAUAGUUCAUCCCUGUCAAUAUCCUGGGAAGCAGAGUUCAGAGAAAACUAUGAAGACACAAUGUGAAAUGUCAGUUGUCUUUGUAAAACAUAAGUAUAUGUGUAUUCUUGGGAAUGGAGGGAAAGUAUGUAAUUAUUUGUGGCUUUUCAAAAAUGUAUGGCUUUUGAAGAGCCACCUCUAUAGUGCCUUUUUGAUUCCUCUUAUGAGAAAACAGACCUGGAAAAAUUAGUAGUCUUUAAUUUAUAGUUAGUUAGCACAUUAUGACAGAACUUUAAUGUCAUAUCUCACUAGAUAGAAAUGAAAUAAUACAUUUUCCUAUUAUAUAUUGAUUGGAGUUAAUUAAAUAUAGUUAGUAUUCCAUUUACAUUGAUGCUUUUUGUUCAAAUCUAUGGUAUUAUGUAUAAAUAUGCCAAUUAUUCAGUAAAACAUCACUAAAAUUAUACCUAUAUUGUUUUGAAGCUGUUAGAAAAUAUCUUCUUUGAAUUCUGAGAGCUGUAUUAUAUUAGUUUAACUAGUUAUCUUCAAAUUCUGAAGUUCCUUGAAUCUAUUUUAAUUUUGUAUCAGGAAUUGGAGAGGUUUUUCCAGAAAAAUGUUACUUAAAUGCACCAAAUGCAAUGUGGGAAUUUUGACCCACUUCUUGUACUUCUAUUUUCCUGCUGCUUUUGCCCCCAAAGGAAGAAUAUAAACAUUUUGCUUACCGUAACACAUUGCUUCAUUAUGAUAUACUAUUGUUACCAUUUUUUUAAAAAAGGAAUGUUUCUAGGUUUUAAUUAAGCUCCUUCAUCUAAUAUGUAGUUUUAAAGUUAUUAUUUCAUAUAAUAUCUAACAUGCCACAGUUAGGAACCUGGAGCAGACUGAACCUUUGGACAAAAUGAUGUCAUUAUUAUGAAAAUAGAAAAGCAUAGACCAGGCAUGGUGGCUCACACCUAUAAUCCUAGCACUUUGGGAGGCUGAGGUGGUUGGAUCACUUGAGGUCAGGAGGUCAAGACCAGCCUGGCCAACACAGCAAAACCCCAUCUCUACUAAAACUACAAAAAUUAGCCUGAAAUGGUGGUGGACACCUGUAGUCCCAGCUACUCUGGAGGCUGAGGCAGGAGAAUCGCUUGAACCCGGAGGCAGAGGUUGCAGUGAGCUGAGAUUGCACCACUGCACUCCAACCUGGGUGACAACGCAAGACUCUGUCUCAAAUAAAUAAAUAAAAAGAAAGAAAAUCAUAGCUGUGGGCUACUCCAAGCUUAUAAUUUUGCAGAGCAAUAGCAGUAAGAUACUCUGUACAAAGUUAAGUAAAGGAUUAUUGCACAUCUCAUAUGAUGGGAUUCUUUUUAAAAAAGUUUUAUUUUAUUGUAGUAAGAAUACUUAGCAUAAGACCUACACUCAACAGGUUUUCUAAGUCUACUGUUCAUUAUCAUUGAUGAUAGGCACAACGUUGUACAGCAGAUUCCUAGAGUUUAUUCACCUUGCUUAACUAAAACUUUAUGCCCAUUGAAUAGUAUCUCCCCAUUUCCCUUUUCCCCCACUUCUGAAAACAUGAUUACCGUUUGGUCCUACAAAUUUGACUAUUUUAGAUACAUCAUGUAAGUGGAAGCAGAAAGCGUUUGUCUUUCUUUGACUAGCUUAUUUCACUCAGCAUAAUGUCGUCCAGCUCAUCGAUGUCAUCCCACAUUGCAGAAUUGCCUUUUUUAAUGGCUAAAUAGUAUUUCAUUGUGUAUACCACUUUUUUUAAUCCAUUUCACCUAUUGAUGGGCAUUAAGGGUGUUUCCACAUCUUGGCUGUUGUGCAUACUCCUGCAUUGUGCUAUUCAUGGGAGUGCUAAUAUCUCUUUGGGAUCUUGAUUUCAAUUCUUUUGGUUAUACAGCCAAAAGUGAUAUUGCUGGAUCAUAUGGUAACUUUUUUUUCCAAUAGUUUUAAGGGUACAGUGGUUUUUGGCUACAUGGAUGAAUUAUAUGGGGGUGCAGUCUAGGCUUUUAGUGUAUCUGUCACCUGAAUAGUGUACAUCGUACCCAAUAUGUAAUUUUUAACCCUCACUCCUCUAAUUUUAUUUAUAUAUAUAAAUACAAUUUUUUUGAAAUGGAGUUUUUCUCUUGUCGCCCAGGCUGGAGUGCAAUGAUGCAAUCUCAGCUCACUGCAACCUCUGCCUCCCAGGUUCAAGCGAUUCUCCUGCCUCAGCCUCCCGAGUAACUGGGAUUACAGGCACCUGCCACCACACUUGGCCAAUUUUUUUUGGUAUUUUUAGUAGAUAUCAGGUUUCACCAUUUUGGCUGGUCUCGACUCUUGGCUGACCUCAACUUCUGACCUCAGUGAUCCACCUACCUCGGCAUCUCAAAGUGUUUGGGUUACAAGCAUAAGCCACCGCACCCGGCCUAUUUAUAAGUUUUUAAGGAAACUUCAUACUGUUUCCCAUAGCUGCACCAUUUUGCAUUUCCACCUACAGUGUUCAAGAGUUCCAGUUUCUCCACAUCCUUACCAAUACUUGUCUUUUUUUUUUUUUUUUAGUAGCCAUCCUGGCAGAUGUGAGGUGAUAUUUCAUCACAGUUUUGAUUUUCAUUUCCCUGAUAACUAAUGACAUUAAACUUUUUUUUAUAUAUCUGCUGGCCACCUGUAUGUCUUCUUUGGAGAAACAUCUAUUCAAGUUUCCAGUUCAUUUUUAAAUUGGAUUAUUUGCUUUUUGCUAUUGAGUUGUUUGAGUUCCUUAUCUAUUUUGAAGCUUAACCCUAUAUCAAAUGGGAUUCUUAUAUUUUUGUUUCAUAUUUUGUAAUAUAUCAGGCCCAUGAAAUUAGCUAUCUUAAGUAAGUUGCUUUUGUGUUGUUUCUUAUGACAAUUCUGAUUAGAAUAUUAAUAGAAAUGUGAAAUGCAGCUUAUACCAACGAAUGGGCUAGUUUUUAUUGAAUCAAUAAAACCCAUAUUUUGGGAGUUUUACUCAAGAACCUAAAAUUCAGUUGAAUAUAAAGAAAUGUCAAUUACUUAGGGAGGCUUGGAAGGUAUAUUUCAGAAACCAAUGUGACAGCACUUACUGAUAAUCACAGCGUAAAAAAAAGUUUCUGUUUUGAAUGUUCAUGUAAAUUUGCAUUGAAUUUAAUUGUUGUCAAAUGUGUAGUUUAUGUUCUUGUGUGAUAAUUUUUAAUUUUGUUUAUAUUCAUUUACGAUUCAUUUGAAAGGGUUUUGUGUAAAUUGAUUGAUUUGUAACAAAAUGCCAAUUCUCAUGGUACAUUAUUAAAAUUCUGUGUUAGUGAUAGAGCUGCUUUUUAUAAAAAGGAUACUUUCCAUUAACAUUUGAAAGUAAGCAUUCCUCACUUUAUCCUGAUAAUGAUAAGACAAAAACUUAUAUGGGAGGAUGUGAGUCAGCACUACACAACUUCUAAUGUUUUGUCUUAGAGUACUUCAAUUUUCUAUCUUGUAAACUUACUUAUAUUUGUGCAGCUAAUUGGAUUACAUUAAGUGAUCUAAAACAAAAUAACAGAUCUUUUUAAGAACCAAAUCAAACACUUUGGCCUAUUAUAUAUGGAAGCUAGGAUUUAUUCGUUGUCAGUUUAAAGAAAUAGUAAUGGUGACCAAAAAAUAGCAGAAUCUUUUUUUUGGGGACGGGGGGUGGAGUCUAAUUUUUUGUAUUUUUAGUAGAGACGGGGUUUCACCAUGUUGUAGCCAGAAUGGUCUCGAUCUCCUGACCUCAUGAUCUGCCCACCUUGGCCUCCCAAAGUGCUGGGAUUAUAGGCGUGAGCCACUGCACCUGGACAAAAUGGCAGAAUUUUUCUUUUUUUUUAAAGACAGAGUCUCGCUCUUUCGCCCACGCUGGAGUGCAGUGGCGUGAGCUGGAGUGCAGUGGUGUGAUCUCGGCUCACUGCAGCCUCUGCCUCUCGGUUCAAGCAGUUUUCCUGCUUCAGCCUCCCAAGUAGCUGGGACUACAGGCAUGCACCACCAUGCUCAGCUAAUUUUUUAUUUUUGUAUUUUUGUUGUUGUUGUUGAGACAGAGUCUCCCUCUAUCGCCCAGGCUGGAGUGCAGUGGCGCGAUCUCAGCUCACUGCAAGCUCUGCCUCCCGGGUUCACGCCAUUCUCCUGCCUCAGCCUCCCGAGUAGCUGGGACUACAGGCGCCCCGCCACCACGCCUGGCUAAUUUUUUGUAUUUUUAGUAGAGACGGGGUUUCGCUGUGUUAGCCAGGAUGGUCUAGAUCUCCUGACCUCAUGAUCCGCCCGCCUCGGCCUCCCAAAGUGCUGAGAUUACAGGCGUGAGCCACCGUGCCCGGCCAAAAUAGCAGAAUCUGAAGAGUUAGAAGACACCUUUAAAAUCACCCACCCUCUCUUAGGCUGAAAUUCCUUAGCAAUACAUCUCUCGGGCUUAUAGCAUUUUAAUUAAGGAAUUAACAUUUUCUAAGGUAAGGAAGUUACUACUUUCCUAGGCAACUAAUGAAAUUUUUGCAUAACUCUAAUUUUCAAGAAGUUCUUUCUGAUUUGAACCAAAUUUUAUCUCUAGACUAAUACCAAAUAUGUCUAUAUGACAGCACUUUGAAUAUUGGAGGUCAGUUUUCAUGCCCUUCUCCCCAGACAAACCUUUAAUUUGUUACAAUAAAUUUUUAAGGAUCUCCGGAAUUAUGGCAUUAUUGUUAUGCAUCUACAUGGACUUAUGAUAAAGUUUUCCAGACCACAAAGUCUGCCCAGAAUUUUGGAGUUUAACUUAAUGAAAUUAGAAUCCAGCUACAAAGUUAAAGAGAAGACCACCUUUACUUCUGACACCCACCACAAGUUCCAUAUUGCCCCAAACCACCUUCAGAUUCCAUAAUUUACUAGAAAUACAGAACUCCCUGAAACUUACUAUACUCACAGUUUUAUUUAUUACAGGGGAAUGAUUCAUAAAAUCAGUCAAAGAAAGAGACACAUAGUACAGAGUCUGGAAGGGUUCCAAAUGGGAGAUUUGUGCUGUCUUUAGGAUGUAUUCCUUCUACUACUGAUGUGUGAUGGUAUAUUUUUGGCCCAUUUUGUGUUGGUAUAACAAUACCACACACUAGAUAGUUUAUAAUGAACAGAAAUUGAUUUAUCACAGUUCUGGAGGCUGGGGAGUCCAAGACCAAGCAAUCAGCAUCUGGGCCUUCUCAGUGUGUCAUCCCGUGGCAGAAGGUGGAAGGGCAAGAGAGGGAGAGAGAGUAAAAGAGGGACAAGAGGGUCAAUCUACGCCUUUUAUAACAAACUCACUCCCGUGAUAACAGCAUUAAUCCAUUCGCUUUGCCCUCAUGGACUAAUCGCCUCUCAUUAGGCCCUACCACUCAACACUCUGGAAUUGGAUAUUUAACUAACUUUUAAAUGCAUGCUUUUUGGGGGACAUGUCCAAAACACUGCAAUACACAUGAAGAACUACCAAACAGGGAAGCUCAACUGAGCUUCUGUACUCAAAGAUUUUGCUGGAGUUUCAAUACAUAGGCAUGACUGAUUGAUUAACAAUAUAGCAAGUUGUCCAAAGAGCCCAUCAUGAAUAACAAAGACAUUCCUAUCAAUCACCUGGUGAAUUUCAAGGGUUUAGAGGUUACCCCCAAAGAACCAGAUACAAAGACUGGGCCUCUCUUUGAGUGAGGCCAAAUUUCUUUCUAUGCUGUAUCCUUUGCUGUUUUCUUGGCCCCAAACACUCCAAUUUCUUCAACUUACAUGAGAUAUAGUUUCUGAAGUUCAACAUGUCUUGGAUGUGUUUCUCUAGAUAAUCUCUAACACGUCAAUUUCCUCUUUUGAAAUAUAUACUUCCUAUUGCUUGUCUUCAGAAGCUAUCUAUCUCUAUAUUAAAGUAUUAGAACCCCACUAGGAAGUGUAAAACAAUACUUUGGGGUCAGCCAACUUGGAGAAUCCUGACAUUUAACAGCUGUUAAAACUUGGAAACAUUAGAUGUUCUUUCUGAACUUCCAGUUCGUCAUAGAUAACAGUGUUACGAAUAAUACCCACUUCAUAUUUUAUGGAGGCUAAAUGAGAUCAUGUGUAAAAUUUUUAAUGUAUCAUAGGAGCUUGAUAUUAGUUAUUUUCUGGGACAAAUACUGGACAGUCUGAAUUUGUGUGUGAAAAGUAUCUUAAGCACUGCUUGCUUAUCAAGUCUUCUAAACUAGAUGUAUGCAUACAUUAUUAAAAACAUAAUUCAAUUCAGCUCAUUAAAUAUUUAUCUAAGUUCAACUGAGAAGUGCACAGCAUUAUGCUAGUGACUGAGAGAGAAGAAGACAGUUUCUGCCUUCCUGGAGUGAUAACAUUUUCAUAAAUAUCUCUGAUGUAAGUAGACUGGAGUAGGUGUUAAAUUCAGAUACAUAACUAGUACAACAAUGGAAGUCCAAGAGAGAAAAAAACAUCUGAUUGGGGUUAUUGGAAGAAUGCAUCUCCAAGAAGGUAAUAUGUCCCUGGAGGCCCAGUAGUGAGUAACUUUCUUUGAGAAUUUCUGAGUGAAUUUACUUGGUAAAAAAGUAGAUUUAGCAACAAGAUAUAAAUAAAUUAAUCAUGAAUACAGAAAUAAACUUUAAGCAUAAUUAUAACAGAAAUAAGAGCUCUCUAAAAUAAUUAGCAAUGUUAAAAAAACAAACAUAACUUUUAGCCAUGAGUUUAAUCUUUGCAUGAAAAAUAUUGUAUUGAUUUUUAUUGGAAUGCAAAGAGAUUGCUUCUAUGCUUCAUGCUUUAAACACCCAGGAAACUUUACCCAAGUUCUGAAAUUGAUUAUGUCAGUUUUUGAUUUCAAGGAAAGUAUGUGUAGAUUUGAUUUGAGGUAGUUUGUUUGAAAACUAUGAAGGAAUUAAACAUAAAUCAUUUAUUCCUCAAACAAUUUAUUCAACAAAUAUUCAUUGCAUGUAUAUUGUGUGCCAGGAACUCUUCCAGGCUCUGGGAGAUACGUCUCCAAGAAAGCAGACAAUACCCCUGCCCUCUGUGGAAGACUGACAAAUAUACAAGUGCAUAUGUAUGUAUAGACUGUCAGAUGAUGUAAGUAUGAAGAAGAAAAUGAAAGCCAUAUAAUGGGUGAUGGAGCGGGGCAUAGAAAGGUGCCAUUUGCUAUUUUAUAGAAGUAGAUCAGGGAACACCUCAUGAUAGACAUCUGAGCAGAGACCAUUCCAGGUGUGGGAGCGUGUCAGAGAGGUAUCCAGGGGCGACAGUUCCAGGCAGAGAAAGCAUGAAGAGCAAGGUGCCCAAGGCCAGACCAUGUGUGCUUGGCAUUUUCCAGGAGCAGCAAGGAAUCUAGUGUGGCUGAAGGAGAAUGAGGAAGGGAGAAAGCAGCAGGAGGGUGCACAUGAAGCCCUGUGUGCCAUUACGAAGACUCUGCUUUUUUUCUUUCUUUUUUUUUUUUGAGACGGAGUCUCGC
RNA transcript from Symphalangus syndactylus (siamang), 12706 nucleotides. RefSeq lists it as uncharacterized. The record is from RefSeq and is a predicted model, not a curated record. NCBI's taxonomy places the organism in Eukaryota, Metazoa, Chordata, Mammalia, Primates, Hylobatidae.